This 512-nucleotide ribosomal RNA is filed under the name uncultured bacterium. RNAcentral describes it as "bacterial SSU rRNA". It matches the Rfam family "Bacterial small subunit ribosomal RNA", at positions 16 to 518 of the family's 1533-position model. The record is from RNAcentral.
UUACUGGCUCAGGAUGAACGCUAGCUACAGGCUUAACACAUGCAAGUCGAGGGGCAGCAUUGGGAUAGCUUGCUAUUCAGAUGGCGACCGGCGCACGGGUGAGUAACGCGUAUCCAACCUUCCUGCCAGUAGGGAACAGCCCGGCGAAAGUCGGAUUAAUGCCCUAUGUUCUUCAAUGCGGACAUCUAAGUUGAAGGAAAGAUUCAUCGCUGGCAGAUGGGGAUGCGUCCGAUUAGCUUGCCGGCGGGGUAACGGCCCACCGGGGCGACGAUCGGUAGGGUUCUGAGAGGAAGGUCCCCCACACUGGUACUGAGACACGGACCAGACUCCUACGGGAGGCAGCAGUGAGGAAUAUUGGUCAAUGGGCGUAAGCCUGAACCAGCCAAGUAGCGUGCCAGGACGACGGCCCUACGGGUUGUAAACUGCCUUUAUGCGGGGAUAAAGUGCGGCACGUGUGCCGCUUUGCAGGUACCGCAUGAAUAAGGACCGGCUAAUUCCGUGCCAGCCGCCGC